Molecule: long non-coding RNA, 604 nt
Organism: Aricia agestis (brown argus)
Lineage: Eukaryota; Metazoa; Arthropoda; Insecta; Lepidoptera; Lycaenidae
Exons: 4
Source: RefSeq, a predicted model, not a curated record
UGUUAUUUAGCUCAUUUCAGUGCUGGUACUCUUAUUUAUUAAAUGUUAAAUUAAAUUUAUAUUUCUCAUAAUCAUUAGUUGAAGUGAAAUUUCGGACUAAAUUAAACCAGUGUCAAGGUUUGCCAAAACUUUUCGUCUAAAAAUAAUGUUUUAAAAUUAAAUGUUUUCAAGGCGGAUUGUUCGGUGUUUUUUUCAAACCGAUUGAGCUUGUUUCCCUGAAGUGUGGUCGUCCGCAUUCUUUUCGCUGCUCCAAAGUGACAUUCAACGGAAGCAAUGAUUAAAGAGCAAUCUGCUGCGGCGUUAGAAGCAGAAGAGGAUCAAGAAGAAUCAACAAAUGAAGCUUUGGGCAAACGGCAUACUAGUAUUUUCAUCGGUAGCAGAGACAAAAAACCAUAUUAGAUAUUACUUUGCGUUCCAAUCGUGAAUUGUGUUCACGGUUAGGACGCAGGGUUAUAAAACGCGCCAAGCAGUUCCGCUACUCGUCGCUCGAUGUCGCCAGUUGGGGGUUGGGCAGCGGCGUGCCCUUGUCAUUCUUCUCGCCCUGUGUGUUGAUACUACUGGACGGAGAACUGAUAAGGGCAUGUCCUGUUACUGAACAUCGAAC